Molecule: ribosomal RNA, 253 nt
Filed under: uncultured bacterium
Lineage: Bacteria
Description: partial 16S ribosomal RNA
Rfam family: Bacterial small subunit ribosomal RNA
Source: RNAcentral
UACGUAGGGGGCAAGCGUUGUCCGGAAUCAUUGGGCGUAAAGAGCGUGUAGGCGGUCCGGUAAGUCCGCCGUGAAAGUCCAGGGCUCAACCCUGGAAUGCCGGUGGAAACUGUCGGGCUGGAGUCCGGAAGAGGCGAGUGGAAUUCCUGGUGUAGCGGUGAAAUGCGCAGAUAUCAGGAGGAACACCAAUGGCGAAGGCAGCUCGCUGGGACGGUACUGACGCUGAGACGCGAAAGCGUGGGGAGCAAACAGG